This 253-nucleotide ribosomal RNA is filed under the name uncultured bacterium. Its description in RNAcentral is "partial 16S ribosomal RNA". It matches the Rfam family "Bacterial small subunit ribosomal RNA", at positions 524 to 776 of the family's 1533-position model. The record is from RNAcentral.
UACGGAGGGUGCAAGCGUUGCUCGGAAUCACUGGGCGUAAAGCGACCGCAGGCGGCCUGACAAGUCGGAUGUGAAAGCCCUGGGCUCAACUCAGGAACUGCAUUCGAAACUGGGAGACUUGAGUGCAGGAGAGAAGAGUGGAAUUCCACGUGUAGCAGUGAAAUGCGUAGAGAUGUGGAGGAAUACCGAUGGCGAAGGCAGCCCCCUGGGCCAAUACUGACGCUCAUGCACGAAAGCGUGGGGAGCAAACAGG